AAACGCCUCUCUCUCAAUCUUCUC
Molecule: non-coding RNA, 24 nt
Filed under: Arabidopsis thaliana (thale cress)
Lineage: Eukaryota; Viridiplantae; Streptophyta; Magnoliopsida; Brassicales; Brassicaceae
Source: RNAcentral